This 397-nucleotide ribosomal RNA is filed under the name uncultured bacterium. Its description in RNAcentral is "partial 16S ribosomal RNA". It matches the Rfam family "Bacterial small subunit ribosomal RNA", at positions 355 to 746 of the family's 1533-position model. The record is from RNAcentral.
UGGGGAAUAUUGCACAAUGGGCGCAAGCCUGAUGCAGCCAUGCCGCGUGUGUGAAGAAGGCCUUCGGGUUGUAAAGCACUUUCAGCGAGGAGGAAGGGUAGUGUGUUAAUAGCACAUUGCAUUGACGUUACUCGCAGAAGAAGCACCGGCUAACUCCGUGCCAGCAGCCGCGGUAAUACGGAGGGUGCAAGCGUUAAUCGGAAUUACUGGGCGUAAAGCGCACGCAGGCGGUUUGUUAAGUCAGAUGUGAAAUCCCCGCGCUUAACGUGGGAACUGCAUUUGAAACUGGCAAGCUAGAGUCUUGUAGAGGGGGGUAGAAUUCCAGGUGUAGCGGUGAAAUGCGUAGAGAUCUGGAGGAAUACCGGUGGCGAAGGCGCCCCCUGGACAAAGACUACGC